RNAcentral lists this non-coding RNA (87 nucleotides) under Sphaerotilus sulfidivorans. RNAcentral's name for it is "Sphaerotilus natans subsp. sulfidovorans Burkholderia RNA 7 (anti-hemB)". It matches the Rfam family "Burkholderia RNA 7 (anti-hemB)". Rfam says of the family: This RNA motif was identified by computational search in b-proteobacteria Burkholderia. Co-purified with Hfq, expression confirmed by Northern blot. Putative functional homologue of SP-RydB and predicted target hemB. The record is from Rfam by way of RNAcentral. Lineage: Bacteria; Pseudomonadati; Pseudomonadota; Betaproteobacteria; Burkholderiales; Sphaerotilaceae.
UCCCUGCUUUUCCUCCCUGAGCAGGUGCCUUACCGUGUUGACAGCGCUAAGGCUUCGAAGCCCCGGCACAUGCCGGGGCUCUUUUUU